Molecule: long non-coding RNA, 889 nt
Organism: Helianthus annuus (common sunflower)
Lineage: Eukaryota; Viridiplantae; Streptophyta; Magnoliopsida; Asterales; Asteraceae
Exons: 3
Source: RefSeq, a predicted model, not a curated record
ACACAUGGCAAGUUCCUUUCUUUAUCACUCACUCGACACCCUAAUCUCCACUCCAGCAUCAUCUACGGCGAUUCUCCUCUUUCACUCAGAUAUUCAAAACACCCAAGGCCGCUCACGAUUUCAACCUCUUAACUUCGUCUUCUUCAAUACAAACUCUGUCGUCCAUCUUGCUGAGACAAACAGAGUCCAAACCCUAGCGAAGAGAAAUCGGUUCGCCCGUUCCGAUUCAGGUUGCGGCAAACAUUGAAGGCAAACACUGAUCUUUAUGCGAUUGUUAUGCUUGCUAUUAGGUGCAACAGGUGACUCCAAGAGUUCAUCUGAUGGUCAAAAACCAGUGCAGUUACAGAUUGUGUGCUCUUUGGAAUGCCAUAGUGGUCAAGGAUGCCAAAAAUAGAUAGGCUAUGGACUUUCGAUGGAUUCCAAUACGAUUUAGCUAUAAUCGAACCCUGCUUGAUGUUAUAUCAUAAUCUGUUUGACGAUGGCGAUAAUGUUAAUCCCUUUGCUGUAAGUUAACAUUUAUGCUUUCAUUUUCAAAUUGAUCGUUAAGACUUAAGUCAUCAGUUUAGUACAAAUCUUUUGCGGCUCUUCAUAGUCAUAGCCGCCUCAUCCUUCAUAUGCAUAUAUAGUGCUUGUUGAGUUCCAUUAUGUUUUCUUAAAUCCUCCCCCUAAACAUCAAUAUAUUAUUUAAAGUUCAGAUUGAUAUUGUAACUUAGCUUUGAGGUAAUUAACAUUAGUUUGACAUAUUAUCUUAAUUGACAUACUAUAAUGUUAUAUUUAAAGUUUGUCUGUUGCAUUCUCACCGUAUAGAGUUUCUUGAUUGUUGAAUUUUUUAAAUCCUUUUUACCAAAAGGUUUCAUCUAAUCUUAACAAGCCUUUUGUCGUUUUAAUU